GGAGAAGGAGAAGGAGAAAGAGAAAGAAGAAGAAGGAGAAGGAGAACAAGGAAGGAAGAGGAAGGGAGGAGCAAGGGUUUCCUACCAACUAAGGAAUAGAACCAAGGGGUGACGAGACAACGCGGCGCGAGGCCAUCGGCUGUCCAUCAUAAUCUAGGACUUGAGAUAUGGAUUCAAGGAACCCUUCAGAGACUGUGGCUGAGGAAUAGGCCCUCUACGAAGUGACCUCUAAGACAAGGAGCUGGUCAUACACGAGGACUGUUAUGCAUGCGAUGAUUGUGCUUUCGGAGUACACUGAAGAUGAGAGUAUCAUCUUCCCUUUUGAUUCUUUUAUUUACAUGUCAGAUGUAGCCCUAAGGGCAUAACUGUAAUUAAUAUUCCGCUGUGAAAACAUUUUGGUAAAUAUGGUAAAUAUUAGUAGACUUCACCAGUUAUGUAUAUUUGACUAUUAUUAAUAUCUUGUGAUCGUAGAAGCAUUUCAUAAUUUUAUGCACUUAAA
This is a long non-coding RNA of Macadamia integrifolia, 499 nucleotides long. RefSeq lists it as uncharacterized. The record is from RefSeq and is a predicted model, not a curated record. Lineage: Eukaryota; Viridiplantae; Streptophyta; Magnoliopsida; Proteales; Proteaceae. The transcript is spliced from 3 exons.